GAACGAACGCUGGCGGCAGGCCUAACACAUGCAAGUCGAGCGCACCCUUCGGGGCGAGCGGCGGACGGGUUAGUAACGCGUGGGAAUGUACCCUUCUCUACGGAAUAGCCAUUGGAAACGAUGAGUAAUACCGUAUACGCCCUUCGGGGGAAAGAUUUAUCGGAGAAGGAUCAGCCCGCGUUAGAUUAGAUAGUUGGUGGGGUAAUGGCCUACCAAGUCUACGAUCUAUAGCUGGUUUUAGAGGAUGAUCAGCAACACUGGGACUGAGACACGGCCCAGACUCCUACGGGAGGCAGCAGUGGGGAAUCUUAGACAAUGGGCGCAAGCCUGAUCUAGCCAUGCCGCGUGUGUGAUGAAGGCCCUAGGGUCGUAAAGCACUUUCGCCAGGGAUGAUAAUGACAGUACCUGGUAAAGAAACCCCGGCUAACUCCGUGCCAGCAGCCGCGGUAAUACGGAGGGGGUUAGCGUUGUUCGGAAUUACUGGGCGUAAAGCGCACGUAGGCGGAUUAGAAAGUUGGGGGUGAAAUCCCAGGGCUCAACCCUGGAACUGCCUCCAAAACUCCUAGUCUAGAGUUCGAGAGAGGUGAGUGGAAUUCCGAGUGUAGAGGUGAAAUUCGUAGAUAUUCGGAGGAACACCAGUGGCGAAGGCGGCUCACUGGCUCGAUACUGACGCUGAGGUGCGAAAGUGUGGGGAGCAAACAGGAUUAGAUACCCUGGUAGUCCACACCGUAAACGAUGAAUGCCAGUCGUCGGGUAGUAUACUAUUCGGUGACACACCUAACGGAUUAAGCAU
Molecule: ribosomal RNA, 793 nt
Filed under: Pseudosulfitobacter pseudonitzschiae
Lineage: Bacteria; Pseudomonadati; Pseudomonadota; Alphaproteobacteria; Rhodobacterales; Roseobacteraceae
Description: bacterial SSU rRNA
Rfam family: Bacterial small subunit ribosomal RNA
Source: RNAcentral